Pelmatolapia mariae (spotted tilapia) is the source of this 319-nucleotide long non-coding RNA. RefSeq lists it as uncharacterized. The transcript has 3 exons. The record is from RefSeq and is a predicted model, not a curated record. NCBI's taxonomy places the organism in Eukaryota, Metazoa, Chordata, Actinopteri, Cichliformes, Cichlidae.
CACGGGGUCUGUACUUCCUGCUGACACCUGUAGAUCCGUCAGUUCUUCGUGAAGUUAACUGUCUCCUCUUGGGAGCAAUUUCAAUGCCUUCAUGUAUCCUCAAAACACAGGAGGAGCGUGGGAGGCCCGAAGAGCAGCGAGCGAAUAAACACACCGUUCGCACACAGACCGCCGCGCCUGGGUCCUCCUUCCCUACACCCCCCACGGUCUGCCAACACAGACCGUGACAGAAUGAUCCCGCCAAGCAUGGACCCAGCGGUCUCUGAGGAGAGGCUCAGGAGGGAGGAUUUGGAAUCCAGCUGCUGGUUUACAUGAUCCA